RNAcentral lists this unclassified non-coding RNA (2843 nucleotides) under Hevea brasiliensis (rubber tree). The record is from RNAcentral. Lineage: Eukaryota; Viridiplantae; Streptophyta; Magnoliopsida; Malpighiales; Euphorbiaceae.
GUUUUCUAAGGAAUAAAGCAGUGUUCUUCCGUAAAAAAACCAACAAAUUGUUACAGAAAGACAAGCUAACAAUCUAUAACAGGCGCCAAGCCCGUAUGAAAAACAAACCUUCUGUAUUUACCACUUAUUCUCUGGAAUGAACAAAUCAAUCAUAUACCACUAUUUCAACUUGUGAAUUACAGAAACUAUACUAUAGAAGGGGGCAAAAACAAAAACUAUAAGAAUCACAAGUAUGAUAUAACCAGCUCAACAACUUGCUUUUGGCAAAAACCUUGAAAAUCCAAUCACAAACUCAGGUUCAUCCCAAAACAGAAACUUAGACAUACUUCUGUUAUUCGCCUCCAAAGCAAACAACAAUCUCAGGAUAGAAAACAAUUCACAAGAACAAUUGACCUAUCUUACUUGGUAGAAACAUAGCAUUUGGAAAGAUGAACUACUGAAAACUGAAGCAUUGCCGAUGCUCCUAAAGAAUAAUCAACUAUCAUCAACAAAAAAUCAAACAUUCUCCAACAUAUAAUGAAGUUUUGGAACCCGCCGACGAAACAAUGGCUCCAGCCUGAAAGAUGGAAUACCAGUCUCCCACCUCUUAACAUCAUACAUCUCAUUCCACGCCUGUACAAUCUCAUCAAUUUUGAACCCCAAUCCUUCAAGAGCAGUUUCAUUGGAACAAUGGUUCUUUAUCAUAACAGCUAUAUCUGUAGGAGAAGCACCAGCAAGUUCAAACUUCUCAACUGCAACCUCUAAACAUUCUUCCCAAGUGGGUAGCUCUAGCUUAUAUUCCACAACAGAGCGCUCAUAAAGCAUGGUACCCCAUAAGAGGUAUAUUUGUGAACUCAUAUUUGCUGCCUGCUCUGCAGCUUCUUCGGCAGAUACAUCUUUCAAUAGCCCAUCCAACCCGAAUUUCUGCAACUGGGCUUUGUAUUUGUCAAAUUUGGAAAGCCCGUUUAGACGCUGCUCCUCCAUCUCUUCCCACAUCUGCAUACCUUUCUCCAUGCAGUCCUCAGCCUUGUUAUAAAGAUCCAGGACCUCCUCAGAGGGCCCAUUUUCUAAAUCCAGCUUGCUUCCAAUAGCGUGAUACCAACAAAGCUUCGCUUCAUCAAACUGCUGUUGCCCAAGUGCAAGAAGACCUUCAUAGAAGUCUGGUUUAAUUUUUAAAGCUUCUUGGUAUCUUGUUCCUGCCUUGUAAUAUUCUUUCUUUGCCCACUCAUAUGCAUUCUUAACCUGUGCAAGUAUAGACUCCCUCGAACCAUCUUCAGAAAAGAACACCCGUUUCCUUGCCUUGGACAUAUGAACACUUCCCCAAUUAAACAAAGCCAAAGCUGCCAUUUCUUGGAACUUAUCUGCAGCAAUAUCAAAAACUUCCUGUGCUUCUUCACUUGUCACAGUGUCCUCCAUUGCCUCUGAGUAUAAUUUCAUACCUAGUUCAUGAAGAUCCAAGUAUGAAUCAGAAUCAAAGCCAACAUGGUUCUUGAACAACCGUGCAAAUUGGAUAAUCCAAUCGUCUAUGGAAAUUGGUCCCUUUUCAACAUCUACACCUUUCCCAACAUUCCCAUUCUCAACAGCAUCACUUGGUUUCUUAUCAAUCUUGUGCAGCUCCUCUUCAACUCUCAUCCCCUCAUAAGCUGGUUCUUGAUCAGGCUCAACUUCAACAACAUAGAACCUAAGCGACCCUUGAGAAUCACUUGACGAUUCUACCAGCCUUAGCUCUUCUGUAGUAGUGAUUGUAAUCAAGUCUCCCUCUGAGUCCCUAUAUUUCAUAAGGACACCCUUCAAGCCAGGAUACCUAUCUCUGACUAUAUCCCUCAGCAGUCCAACACUACAAUUCACAGGCAACUGUGCCCACCUGAUAUCCUCCCCAAAGACUAACUUCACUGUCUUGGUAAUCACUUUCUCCUCUUUAACAUCCUUUGUAAGCACCUUCUCUUUUUCAAUAGUUUUCAUUGCCACCUCUUUGUCCUUGAUAACAGAACUCACCUUCUUCUCCUCCACAACUAUCUUAUCCUCGUCCUCUAUCUUCCUCUUCACCUCUUUAUCAUUCUUCUUCUUCUUUUUUACCUUCUCCUUCACCACCUUACGCAAACGGGCGGCACCACUCUGCUCUACAUUAGCCAAACUAAUUAAUUUCUCGUCAAAGUUAAUACCCUUCUCAGUCAUAGCCUUUUUAACGCUCUCCAAUAUCUCCAACGCCGUCAUAUUAUUGGGUUCCAUACUCAAAACAAUAUUAACAUCCCUCAAAGACAAAUCCAAUCUAUUCAAAGCCUCAUAACACCUAGCUCUUUUCAACAAAGCUUUGCUAUACUUGGGCGAAACCUCUAAAGCUAAAUUACACUCAUUGAUAGCUCGAGGAUACUCACCUAGACCCAUUUGCAUAUAGCAAGCGGCCAUGUUGCUUCGAAGAUAAGCGACGUCGAUGUGGUUUCUGGGAAGCAGCUUGACAGCUUUCUCGUACUUUAACAUGGCGCCUUCGUGGUCGCGCUUCUGAAAGAGUUUAUUCCCUUCUUCUUUGAGCUCUUGCGCCAUGUUGAUAAACAUUGCUGUGUCUUCAUCGAAGGCCUUCGAUGUCCGAUCCGUCGUGGGUUUACUCUGCUUACCAUUGGCGUCAACGGCUCUGGGUGAAUUCGGGUUCUUCUUUUUCCCAGUUGGCUUUCCCAUUUGAUAGAUUCUCAGAUAAUAUAGAGAGAAGAAACCCUUCAAAAUCAAAGCUUUAAGUACAAACCCCGAUUCUAAUUUCAAUCAAAACACUCUCUUUAACCAUCAAACAUCCAUCAAAACAGAAGGGAGGGGAAAAAAACUAACUUAUACAAAAUCAUAUAGCUAUAAUAAUUGAAAACAAAAGCCCAAAC